RNAcentral lists this ribosomal RNA (242 nucleotides) under uncultured bacterium. Its description in RNAcentral is "partial 16S ribosomal RNA". It matches the Rfam family "Bacterial small subunit ribosomal RNA", at positions 524 to 765 of the family's 1533-position model. The record is from RNAcentral.
UACGGAGGGGACUAGCGUUGUUCGGAAUUACUGGGCGUAAAGCGCACGUAGGCGGAUUUGUAAGUCAGGGGUGAAAUCCCAAGGCUCAACCUUGGAACUGCCUUUGAUACUGGGGAUCUCGAGUCCGGAAGAGGUUGGUGGAACUGCGAGUGUAGAGGUGAAAUUCGUAGAUAUUCGCAGGAACACCAGUGGCGAAGGCGGCUCACUGGUCCGGUACUGACGCUGAGGUGCGAAAGCGUGGG